UUAAGCUAGAAAGGGCGCACGGUGGAUGCCUUGGCACUAGGAGCCGAUGAAGGACGGGGCAAACGCCGAAACGCUCCGGGGAGCUGUAAGCAAGCGUUGAUCCGGAGAUGUCCGAAUGGGGGAACCCACUGUCCGUAAUGGGGCAGUAUCCAUGCCUGAAUCCAUAGGGCAUGGAGGGCACACCCGGGGAACUGAAACAUCUUAGUACCCGGAGGAGAAGAAAGCAAACGCGAUUCCCUGAGUAGCGGCGAGCGAAACGGGAACAGCCCAAACCAAGAGGCGUGCCUCUUGGGGUUGUAGGACCGCUCAUUGUGGGAGUGAGAAAGGAACGGGGUAGACGAACCGGUCUGGAACGGCCGGCCAGAGAAGGUGACAGCCCUGUAGUCGAAACUUCGUUCCCUCCCGAGCGGAUCCUGAGUACGGCGGGACACGGGAAAUCCCGUCGGAAGCAGGGAGGACCAUCUCCCAAGGCUAAAUACUCCCUAGUGACCGAUAGUGCACCAGUACCGUGAGGGAAAGGUGAAAAGCACCCCGGAAGGGGAGUGAAAGAGAACCUGAAACCGUGUGCCUACAAGUAGUCAGAGCCCGUUUAUGGGUGAUGGCGUGCCUUUUGUAGAAUGAACCGGCGAGUGACGAUGGCGUGCGAGGUUAAGCCGAAGAGGCGGAGCCGCAGCGAAAGCGAGUCUGAACAGGGCGAAAAGUACGUCGUCGUCGACCCGAAACCAGGUGAUCUACCCAUGUCCAGGGUGAAGGCCGGGUAACACCGGCUGGAGGCCCGAACCCACACACGUUGAAAAGUGCGGGGAUGAGGUGUGGGUAGGGGUGAAAUGCCAAUCGAACUUGGAGAUAGCUGGUUCUCCCCGAAAUAGCUUUAGGGCUAGCCUCGGGAUGGAGAGUGUUGGAGGUAGAGCACUGAUUGGGCUAGGGGCCCUCAUCGGGUUACCGAACCCAGUCAAACUCCGAAUGCCAACGACUUAUGCCCGGGAGUCAGACUGCGAGUGAUAAGAUCCGUGGUCGAGAGGGAAACAGCCCAGAUCGCCAGCUAAGGCCCCAAAGUGCACGUUCAGUGGAAAAGGAUGUGGAGUUGCAAAGACAACCAGGAUGUUGGCUUAGAAGCAGCCACCAUUUAAAGAGUGCGUAAUAGCUCACUGGUCGAGUGACUCUGCGCCGAAAAUGUACCGGGGCUAAACGUGCCGCCGAAGCUGCGGGAUGACCGCUGGUCAUCGGUAGGGGAGCGUUCUAAGCGCGCCGAAGCGAGACCGGAAGGACUCGUGGAGCGCUUAGAAGUGAGAAUGCCGGUGUGAGUAGCGAAAACAGAGGUGAGAAUCCUCUGCACCGAAAGCCUAAGGGUUCCUGAGGAAGGUUCGUCCGCUCAGGGUUAGUCGGGACCUAAGCCGAGGCCGAAAGGCGUAGGUGAUGGGCAACAGGUUGAGAUUCCUGUACCACCUCCUCACCGUUUGAGCAAUGGGGGGACGCAGGAAGGUAGGGCGAGCAGGCUGCUGGAAUAGCCUGUCCAAGCGGUUAGGCUGCCAGAUAGGCAAAUCCGUCUGGCAUAAAGGCUGAGCCGUGAUGGCGAAGGGACCAUCGGUCCCGAAGUCCCCGAUCCUACACUGCCAAGAAAAGCCUCUAGCGAGGUGAGAGGUGCCCGUACCGCAAACCGACACAGGUAGGCGAGGAGAGAAUCCUAAGGUGCGCGGGAGAACUCUCGUUAAGGAACUCGGCAAAAUGACCCCGUAACUUCGGGAGAAGGGGUGCUCUCUUGGGUGAUGAGCCCGAGAGAGCCGCAGUGAAAAGGCCCAAGCGACUGUUUAUCAAAAACACAGGUCUCUGCGAAGCCGAAAGGCGACGUAUAGGGGCUGACACCUGCCCGGUGCUGGAAGGUUAAGGGGAGCGCUUAAGCCGCAAGGCUGAAGGUGCGAACCGAAGCCCCAGUAAACGGCGGCCGUAACUAUAACGGUCCUAAGGUAGCGAAAUUCCUUGUCGGGUAAGUUCCGACCCGCACGAAAGGUGUAACGACUUGGGCACUGUCUCAACGAGAGACCCGGUGAAAUCAUACCACCUGUGAAGAUGCAGGUUACCCGCGACAGGACGGAAAGACCCCGUGGAGCUUUACUGCAGCCUGAUAUUGAAUUUUGGUAUCGCUUGUACAGGAUAGGUGGGAGCCUGAGAAGCCGGAGCGCCAGCUUCGGUGGAGGCGCCGGUGGGAUACCACCCUGGCGGUAUUGAAAUUCUAACCCGCACCCCUUAUCGGGGUGGGAGACAGUGUCAGGCGGGCAGUUUGACUGGGGCGGUCGCCUCCCAAAAGGUAACGGAGGCGCCCAAAGGUUCCCUCAGAAUGGUUGGAAAUCAUUCGGAGAGUGCAAAGGCACAAGGGAGCUUGACUGCGAGACGGACAGUGUAAAUUAGCACAUUAUUUCAGAAUCACUUUUUCAAAUUAUUUCAGAUGGAUUCUGAAAUAAUGUGCAAAAUUUUUGCGGAUUGUUCCGGAUUUUGCACAUUCUUUCGGAACGUUUGCACGCUCUUUCAGAUGAAGAUUUCCAGCGCGCCUGAUGGACCGAUGGAAAAGAGAAAGCACAAAAGAGGCCGAUUCGGCCCCUUUCGUGCUAAUACCCCAUUUCCUCUGCGGCCAUGCGCACCACUUCUUCGUCAAUGGCGUCCUUUUUCAGCUGAUACCCGUAUAACAGGCACGUCGUGGCCAACGUGUUGAUCACCCGAGGCCAUCCCCGUGACUGCAGGGCAAUCGCCUCUAACGCCGAUGGGGUGAAGAUCGGAUGCUUGGCCCCGGCCUGUUUCAUCCGAUGUUCGAUGUAGCCCGCCACCUCUUCCUU
This 2828-nucleotide ribosomal RNA is filed under the name Geobacillus stearothermophilus. Its description in RNAcentral is "23S ribosomal RNA". It matches the Rfam family "Bacterial large subunit ribosomal RNA", at positions 3 to 2533 of the family's 2925-position model. The record is from RNAcentral. Lineage: Bacteria; Bacillati; Bacillota; Bacilli; Caryophanales; Anoxybacillaceae.